This 664-nucleotide ribosomal RNA is filed under the name uncultured Bacteroidales bacterium. Its description in RNAcentral is "bacterial SSU rRNA". It matches the Rfam family "Bacterial small subunit ribosomal RNA", at positions 75 to 738 of the family's 1533-position model. The record is from RNAcentral. Lineage: Bacteria; Pseudomonadati; Bacteroidota; Bacteroidia; Bacteroidales.
CUUGCUUUCUUUGCUGGCGACCGGCGCACGGGUGAGUAACACGUAUCCAACCUGCCCUUUACUCGGGGAUAGCCUUUCGAAAGAAAGAUUAAUACCCGAUAGCAUAAUGAUUCCGCAUGGUUUCAUUAUUAAAGGAUUCCGGUAAAGGAUGGGGAUGCGUUCCAUUAGGUUGUUGGUGAGGUAACGGCUCACCAAGCCUUCGAUGGAUAGGGGUUCUGAGAGGAAGGUCCCCCACAUUGGAACUGAGACACGGUCCAAACUCCUACGGGAGGCAGCAGUGAGGAAUAUUGGUCAAUGGGCGUUAGCCUGAACCAGCCAAGUAGCGUGAAGGAUGAAGGCUCUAUGGGUCGUAAACUUCUUUUAUAUAAGAAUAAAGUGCAGUAUGUAUACUGUUUUGUAUGUAUUAUAUGAAUAAGGAUCGGCUAACUCCGUGCCAGCAGCCGCGGUAAUACGGAGGAUCCGAGCGUUAUCCGGAUUUAUUGGGUUUAAAGGGAGCGUAGGUGGACUGGUAAGUCAGUUGUGAAAGUUUGCGGCUCAACCGUAAAAUUGCAGUUGAUACUGUCAGUCUUGAGUACAGUAGAGGUGGGCGGAAUUCGUGGUGUAGCGGUGAAAUGCUUAGAUAUCACGAAGAACUCCGAUUGCGAAGGCAGCUCACUGGACUGCA